UACGGGGGUGGCAAGCGUUGUUCGGAAUUACUGGGCGUAAAGGGCUCGUAGGCGGCCAACUAAGUCAGACGUGAAAUCCCUAGGCUCAACCUAGGAACUGCGUCUGAUACUGGAUGGCUUGAAUCCGGGAGAGGGAUGCGGAAUUCCAGGUGUAGCGGUGAAAUGCGUAGAUAUCUGGAGGAACACCGGUGGCGAAGGCGGCGUCCUGGACCAACACUGACACUGAGGAGCGAAAGCCAGGGGAGCAAACGGG
Molecule: ribosomal RNA, 253 nt
Filed under: uncultured bacterium
Lineage: Bacteria
Description: partial 16S ribosomal RNA
Rfam family: Bacterial small subunit ribosomal RNA
Source: RNAcentral